CUUUUUGCUCACCCCACCUGGUACUCCAUGUCGUAGCUGGGCAGGAUGAUCCGCCCGUGCUUCCACUCGCCGCCCUGGUCCUCGCGGAUGACCCACAGCAGCUUGCUCUCCUGGCUGGCUUCCCGCACCACCUGCAGCGCCACCCCGCGGCCGCCUGUGGCCUGGGACGGUGAAUAUCCUGGACUUGUCAGGGUAGAUGGGCUAGGAUUCUAGAGCCUAGAAUCAAUGCAACACUCCCUGGACCGCUGCUUUGCUGUUGUUAAUCCUGCUGACCUCACCUUUGUAGCAUUUACUGACUGUACUGCUGAUUUUACCUUGUUUUUAAAAGGACUUCAGGCUAUUUUCCAUGGAUUUCAGAAGUUAUCCAGUGACGGAGAAUGAGACAGCUAUAAAGAUACCAGCCACUGAACAUUCCAUCAAGGGAUCCCAGAAAAGACACAUCCCUCCAUUACUUGCUUCUUGGUUCAUACCAAAACCAGGGAACUAAAGUAUCAGCAAGGGCCCCUGGAGGUUGCUCUCAUGUGAAUGU
Molecule: non-coding RNA, 529 nt
Filed under: Pongo abelii (Sumatran orangutan)
Lineage: Eukaryota; Metazoa; Chordata; Mammalia; Primates; Hominidae
Source: RNAcentral